UACGUAGGGGGCAAUCGUUGUCCGGAUUUACUGGGUGUAAAGGGUGCUCAGGUGGUUGCGCAAGUCAGAGGUGAAAUCCUAGAGCUUAACUCUGGAACUGCCUUUGAUACUGCACAGCUUGUGUACGGAAGGGGCUGAUGGAAUUCCUGGUGUAGCAGUGAAAUGCGUAGAUAUCAGGAAGAACACCAGUGGCGAAGGCGGUCAGCUGGUCCGUUACAGACACUAAAGCACGAAAGCGUGGGGAGCAAACAGG
RNAcentral lists this ribosomal RNA (253 nucleotides) under uncultured bacterium. RNAcentral's name for it is "partial 16S ribosomal RNA". It matches the Rfam family "Bacterial small subunit ribosomal RNA", at positions 524 to 776 of the family's 1533-position model. The record is from RNAcentral.